GUUGUUGUUGUUGCCGCCGCCAGUGGUUCUGUUACGGUCUUCAUUGGCGCCAGGAGAAGGAGGGGUUGGUCUUUGUGAAGGGGGUGGCUGGUUGGCCGGUGUCUGAGGCGGUGCAGGUGGAGUUACCGGAGUUUUGACUUCAGGAGAAGGUGUUACCGGAGCUUUGACUUCAGGAGAAGGUGGAGAAGGAUUCUCUGGAGUUUUCGGUGGUGGAUUACCUGCAACAGGCGGUGAAGGUGGCGGUGAUGGAGGAGGUAAGGUUUCUUGGCUCGGCGGUGCAGGAGGCGGUGAAGAAGCAGAGCUAUUGUUAGUUGGUGGAGAAGCAGAA
RNAcentral lists this long non-coding RNA (328 nucleotides) under Brassica napus (rape). Its description in RNAcentral is "long non-coding RNA (BNAP_LNC009158)". The record is from RNAcentral. Lineage: Eukaryota; Viridiplantae; Streptophyta; Magnoliopsida; Brassicales; Brassicaceae.